Molecule: long non-coding RNA, 604 nt
Organism: Pygocentrus nattereri (red-bellied piranha)
Lineage: Eukaryota; Metazoa; Chordata; Actinopteri; Characiformes; Serrasalmidae
Source: Ensembl
AUUCACAUGAUUCUCUGAAAAUACAGCCUUGAUGCAGAGCUUCGUUUGGAUUUUGUCUACAUCCAAAAUCUGCCUCAGAACCUCUGGAUCAAACGCAGCAAGUUGGCCUUGUAGACAGAAAGUCUCACACCAAGUAUUUUGAGCAGAACUUUUGGAACUGAAUAUACAAAAACCUUAAUACUGCCUUCUAAAGCUUGUGUUUUCCUUAAAGACCCCCCUUGACACAUCACCUCCUUAAUAGACAGAGCGAUGGAGAUGUGCUGUGGGUGUUUGGUGCUGGUCUUGCUGAUGACCGUCUCCUCAGAUGCUCAGUGUUCCAUGGUUUGACCUUAAUACCAAAGCUGUGAACUUAGCCAGAAGCCCCCUUCGUCCUUCUGAGAGUCCAGCCAGCUGGGGAAACUCAAAUGACCAGAGACUAGGUCUGUACUCAGAAGGCUUUCCCCAUUUAUUAAUCAGAAUAGCAGAGAUUACACACACACACACACACACACACACACACAAGCCUUGCAUGAUCAUGCGACAAGACAACAGAGAGGGGAUUGGAUGAAAUAGUUAUAGGUGGACAAGAACCCCCAAGGACAUUUGACAUCCAGAUACACAGAGC